UCAAGCGAAUAAGCGCACACGGUGGAUGCCUUGGCGGUCAGAGGCGAUGAAGGACGUGGCAGCCUGCGAAAAGUAUCGGGGAGCUGGCAACAAGCUUUGAUCCGGUAAUGUCCGAAUGGGGAAACCCACCCGCUUGCGGGUAUCCUGCAGUGAAUACAUAGCUGCUGGAAGCGAACCUGGUGAACUGAAAUAUCUAAGUAACCAGAGGAAAAGAAAUCAACCGAGAUUCCGUAAGUAGCGACGAGCGAACGCGGACUAGCCCUUAAGCUGGAUUGGUUCUAGGAAAACGCUCUGGAAAGAGCGGCCAUAGAAGGUGAUAGCCCUGUAUCUGAAAGGGCCAUUCCAGUGAAGACGAGUAGGGCGGGGCACGUGAAACCCUGUCUGAACAUGGGGGGACCAUCCUCCAAGGCUAAAUACUACUGACCGACCGAUAGUGAACCAGUACCGUGAGGGAAAGGCGAAAAGAACCCCGGAGAGGGGAGUGAAAUAGAACCUGAAACCGUGUGCGUACAAGCAGUAGGAGCUCCGCAAGGAGUGACUGCGUACCUUUUGUAUAAUGGGUCAGCGACUUACUGUUCGUGGCAAGCUUAACCGUAUAGGGGAGGCGAAGGGAAACCGAGUCUGAUAAGGGCGCAUAGUCGCGGGCAGUAGACCCGAAACCGGGUGAUCUAGUCAUGCCCAGGGUGAAGGUGCGGUAACACGCACUGGAGGCCCGAACCCACUCCCGUUGCAAAGGUAGGGGAUGAGGUGUGAUUAGGAGUGAAAAGCUAAUCGAACCCGGAGAUAGCUGGUUCUCCUCGAAAGCUAUUUAGGUAGCGCCUCAUAUGUAUCCUCUCGGGGGUAGAGCACUGUUAUGGCUAGGGGGUCAUCGCGACUUACCAAACCAUUGCAAACUCCGAAUACCGAGACGGACUGUAUGGGAGACACACGGCGGGUGCUAACGUCCGUCGUGAAAAGGGAAACAACCCAGACCCACAGCUAAGGUCCCAAAUUUUGUGCUAAGUGGAAAACCAUGUGGAAAGGCACAGACAGCCAGGAGGUUGGCUUAGAAGCAGCCACCCUUUAAAGAAAGCGUAAUAGCUCACUGGUCGAGUCGGUCUGCGGGGAAGAUUUAACGGGGCUAAGCACAGAACCGAAGCUUGGGGUGCAUAACUUUGUUAUGCGCGGUAGAGGAGCGUUCCGUAAGCCGUUGAAGGUGGAUUGAGAAGUCUGCUGGAGGUAUCGGAAGUGCGAAUGCUGACAUGAGUAACGAUAAUGCGGGUGAAAAACCCGCACGCCGAAAGCCCAAGGUUUCCUUGCGCAACGUUAAUCGGCGCAGGGUGAGUCGGCCCCUAAGGCGAGGACGAAAGUCGUAGUCGAUGGGAAGCAGGUUAAUAUUCCUGCACCUCGCGUAAGUGCGAUGGAGGGACGGAGAAGGUUAGGUGUACCAGGCGUUGGUUGUCCUGGGGAAAGGCGGUAGGUUUGGAUCUUUGGCAAAUCCGGGAUCCUCUAAGACCGAGCACCGAGACGAGCCUUUAUGGCGAAGUCACUGAUACCACGCUUCCAGGAAAAGCUCCUAAGCUUCAGCUUACGCAGACCGUACCGUAAACCGACACAGGUGGGUAGGAUGAGAAUUCUCAGGCGCUUGAGAGAACUCGGGUGAAGGAACUAGGCAACAUGGCACCGUAACUUCGGGAGAAGGUGCACCCUUUUUGGUGGCUCGUGCGAGCUAUAGCUGAAGAGGGUCGCAGUAACCAGGCCGCUGCGACUGUUUAUCAAAAACACAGCACUCUGCAAACACGAAAGUGGACGUAUAGGGUGUGACGCCUGCCCGGUGCUGGAAGGUUAAUUGAUGGGGUCAGCCGCAAGGCGAAGCUCUUGAUCGAAGCCCCAGUAAACGGCGGCCGUAACUAUAACGGUCCUAAGGUAGCGAAAUUCCUUGUCGGGUAAGUUCCGACCUGCACGAAUGGCGUAACGACAGCGGCGCUGUCUCCACCCGAGACUCAGUGAAAUUGAAAUCGCUGUGAAGAUGCAGCGUUCCCGUGGCAAGACGGAAAGACCCCGUGAACCUUUACUAUAGCUUUACACUGAACGUUGAGUUCGUCUGUGUAGGAUAGGUGGGAGGCUAUGAAACCAUGGCGCUAGCUGUGGCGGAGCCAUCCUUGAAAUACCACCCUGUCGUGCUUGACGUUCUAACCUGGGCCCAUUAUCUGGGUCGGGGACCGUGUAUGGUGGGUAGUUUGACUGGGGCGGUCUCCUCCUAAAGAGUAACGGAGGAGCUCGAAGGUACGCUCAGCGCGGUCGGACAUCGCGCACUGUGUGCAAAGGCAUAAGCGUGCUUGACUGCAAGAUCGACGGAUCAAGCAGGUAGGAAACUAGGACUUAGUGAUCCGGUGGUUCUGUAUGGAAGGGCCAUCGCUCAACGGAUAAAAGGUACUCCGGGGAUAACAGGCUGAUACCGCCCAAGAGUUCAUAUCGACGGCGGUGUUUGGCACCUCGAUGUCGGCUCAUCACAUCCUGGGGCUGUAGUCGGUCCCAAGGGUAUGGCUGUUCGCCAUUUAAAGUGGUACGCGAGCUGGGUUCAGAACGUCGUGAGACAGUUCGGUCCCUAUCUGCCAUGGGCGUUGGAGAUUUGAGAGGGGCUGCUCCUAGUACGAGAGGACCGGAGUGGACGAACCUCUGGUGUUCCGGUUGUCACGCCAGUGGCAUUGCCGGGUAGCUAUGUUCGGAAGCGAUAACCGCUGAAAGCAUCUAAGCGGGAAGCGCGCCUCAAGAUGAGAUCUCCCGGGGCACAAGCCCCCUGAAGGAACCAUGUAGACUACGUGGUUGAUAGGUCAGGUGUGUAAGUACAGCAAUGUAUUGAGCUAACUGAUACUAAUGAUCCGUGCGGCUUGACCAU
This 2878-nucleotide ribosomal RNA is filed under the name Stenotrophomonas maltophilia. RNAcentral's name for it is "bacterial LSU rRNA". It matches the Rfam family "Bacterial large subunit ribosomal RNA". Lineage: Bacteria; Pseudomonadati; Pseudomonadota; Gammaproteobacteria; Lysobacterales; Lysobacteraceae. The record is from RNAcentral.